GAACCGUUUGGCAUGGCGUGAUCCUCUCCUCCUUCUCUACCUAGUCAUCUUGUUUUGAUCGGUGGAGGAAGAUUUGAAGGUGUUUGAGGGUGUGAACAGUAACGUGAACAGUAACUGUCGAGUUCUUGGUUUUUGUUUGAUCUUUCCGGCCAUUUCUGCUUGAAUUUGGUUGUUGUUGCAGGUAUGGACGUACUGAGCCCUCAAGCGAGGAGGACACGGGCAGACAGCAGGAUUAGCUGCGAGAUUCACCCAUUUCAGAUUUGCCGAGAUCACGUCCAGGAACUUGAGGCAUAGGAAUCAGUGCUUCCGUUUUGUCCUUCUGAGAUGGAUUUGGGCCUGGCCGUGAGCUUUGUUUGAUGAAUGAGGAAUCCCCAUUUCAUACUUGAUUAGUGAGCCUGAAGAGAGAAUUUAUGCGAGAAACCUUGCCUGGUGGGACUCUUGGAAACAGCAACGAUGAAAUCAGAAAAUAAAGCAUUUAAGACGUUUGACCAAGCAAUGAAGAAAAGAAAUAAAGGAGAGAGACGUUUCAGUAGGGAAAUAAAGGAGAAAGACGUUUCAGUUGGGAAAUAAAUAAGCGAAACGUUUCAAUUGGGAAAUUAAAGGAAUUGCCCCAUUAUGAGAGGAAUUAAGGUCAUAAGUGAAACAUUUCAGUUGGGAAAUUAAAGGAAUUAUAAUGCAAUCUCAUCCGUCCAAAUGAUGAAGGGUAUGAUCGACAAAAGCCAACCAAUGCUCCUCUAUAUAUAGACAACGUCCAGAACAGAAUUGGCAUCACUUCCUGGCCAAAAACUAUUCCAAGACUCUGCCCAAUUCACUCCUCAAACCUCCUUCACCUACAAGACCGUGAUCACCAUCCAUCUAUCAAUCUACGAAGCUCUUAGGCGCUACGUUAAGGACGCUCCACCACCAUAGCAGAGACAAGUUCAUCACCUUGUUGCCAAUCCGUUGUGGAAAAUGCUUCAAAGUGUAACUAUGACUCUACUUACAAUUUUGUUUCGGUUUUGUGUGUGAAGACUUGUGAAUUAUCUUGGGAUUUGCGAUUUGUGUAAUUGGA
This 1051-nucleotide long non-coding RNA is filed under the name Rosa chinensis. Its description in RNAcentral is "sRNA RchiOBHm_Chr5g0050151". The record is from RNAcentral. Lineage: Eukaryota; Viridiplantae; Streptophyta; Magnoliopsida; Rosales; Rosaceae.